This 715-nucleotide ribosomal RNA is filed under the name uncultured bacterium. RNAcentral's name for it is "bacterial SSU rRNA". It matches the Rfam family "Bacterial small subunit ribosomal RNA", at positions 72 to 798 of the family's 1533-position model. The record is from RNAcentral.
AAGCCCCUUCGGGGGUGUAUAAAGUGGCGAACGGCUGAGUAACACGUGGGCAACCUGCCUCUUGCUCUGGGAUAGCCACGGGAAACCGUGGGUAAUACCGGAUACUCCGUAACCAUCGCAUGGUGGAUACGGGAAAGCGCAUACGGCAAGAGAUGGGCCCGCGGCCUGUUAGCUUGUUGGUGGGGUAACGGCCUACCAAGGCAAUUAUGGGUAGCUGGGUUGAGAGACCGACCAGCCAGAUUGGGACUGAGACACGGCCCAGACUCCUACGGGAGGCAGCAGUGGGGAAUCUUGCACAAUGGGCGAAAGCCUGAUGCAGCGACGCCGCGUGCGGGAUGAAGGCCCUAUGGGUUGUAAACCGCUUUCAGCAGGGAAGAGGCCGCAAGGUGACGGUACCUGCAGAAGAAGCCCCGGCUAACUACGUGCCAGCAGCCGCGGUAAUACGUAGGGGGCAAGCGUUAUCCGGAUUCAUUGGGCGUAAAGCGCUCGUAGGCGGCUUGUUAGGUCGGGAGUCAAAUCCCGGGGCUCAACCCCGGCACGCUUCCGAUACCGGCAGGCUUGAGUUUGGUAGGGGAAAGUGGAAUUCCAAGUGUAGCGGUGGAAUGCGCAGAUAUUUGGAAGAACGCCAGUGGCGAAAGCGGCUUUCUGGGCCAUAACUGACGCUGAGGAGCGAAAGCUAGGGGAGCAAACAGGAUUAGAUACCCUGGUAGUCCUA